RNAcentral lists this microRNA (22 nucleotides) under Canis lupus familiaris (dog). RNAcentral describes it as "Cfa-Novel-6_3p* (star (passenger))". Lineage: Eukaryota; Metazoa; Chordata; Mammalia; Carnivora; Canidae. The record is from RNAcentral.
CUGGCUGGGAGGAGGAAGGUUG